This 823-nucleotide ribosomal RNA is filed under the name uncultured marine eukaryote. RNAcentral's name for it is "SSU rRNA". It matches the Rfam family "Eukaryotic small subunit ribosomal RNA", at positions 607 to 1460 of the family's 1831-position model. The record is from RNAcentral.
AUGUUGUUGCAGUUAAAAAGCUCGUAGCCGACUCUCGGGGCGGUGUCAACGGUCCGCAGAAAUGUGAGCACUGUUGUCUCCGCCUCUUCCUUCUGGACACCAUGUCUUCUCUUAACUGAGCGGAUGUGGGGGCCAGAUCGUUCACUUUGAACAAAUUAGAGUGUUCAAAGCAGGCCUCCGCCUGAAUACUUGAGCAUGGAAUGAUAUCAAUAGGUCCUUCCUCCCCGUUUAUUGGUGAUGGGGAGGAAGGAAAUGAGAAAGGGGAAUGGUUGGGGCCAUUCGUACUGCAGCGUUAGAGGUGAAAUUCUUGGAUCGCUGCAAGACGAACAACAGCGAAAGCAUUUGGCAAGAACGUUUCCACCGGUCAAGAACGAAAGUUAAGGGAUCGAAGACGAUCAGAUACCGUCGUAGUCUUAACCAUAAACUAUGCCGACUAGAGAUCGGUGGAUGUUAUUAUAUGACUCCAUCAGCAUCUUAUGAGAAAUCAAAGUCUUUGGGUUCCGGGGGGAGUAUGGUCGCAAGGCUGAAACUUAAAGGAAUUGACGGAAGGGCACCACCAGGAGUGGAGCCUGCGGCUUAAUUUGACUCAACACGGGGAAACUUACCAGGUCCAGACAUAGUAAGGAUUGACAGAUUGAGAGCUCUUUCUUGAUUCUAUGGGUGGUGGUGCAUGGCCGUUCUUAGUUGGUGGAGUGAUUUGUCUGGUUAUUCCGUUAACGAACGAGACCUUAACCUGCUAAAUAGUUGCACGGAUCAACGAUCCGUGACGGCUUCUUAGAGGGACUAUCGGUGUCUAAUCGAUGGAAGUUUGAGGCAAUACAGG